Molecule: long non-coding RNA, 2038 nt
Organism: Sciurus carolinensis (gray squirrel)
Lineage: Eukaryota; Metazoa; Chordata; Mammalia; Rodentia; Sciuridae
Exons: 3
Source: RefSeq, a predicted model, not a curated record
CUGAGACAGCUGAAGGGUUUGCUGCUGCUGACUUAGCUCCUAUCUGAACAGGCGCAUCUGAGCAGCUUCACUGUGAGCUUCCUGGAGAACAGAACUGCCCACCUGCCUGCCUAGAUGAACCGCUAUGCUCCAAUGCCAGCGUAGGACUCUGAAUGUACGAAAAGGGGGUUGAGGGUCUUCUGAACUAGCAGGAAAAAUGGAAAUAACAUUACUCUCUGAGAAGCUGCUGGCAUUAUAUAUUCUCCACUUAAAAUGCUAAUCGAUGGGAUCCCCACCCCCGCCCCACCCCAGUCUCAGGCGAUGACUCCAUCAACAAUUCCACAAGGCAUGAAGCAAAGGAGAUCAAGGCCCAAGAAGGGAAAAUAGUUUUCCCAAGGUUAUCCUGCUGGUUACUGGCAGAAUUAAGACUGAAAAUGGGUUCCUUCAGGCUCGAUGCACUGCAUCUUGCCUCAUGAGGCACAUCCCCUUGGGGACGACUCAGAGUCAACACAGACUAAACAGGCUCACUGCAUCGUCACCAGGCCUAUGAUUCAGACACCCAAGAGUUAAACGCUCAGCCUCACUAGGCGCAGAGAGCUGUAUGGGAGGAGGCCAGAAAGGCACUGAAAUCCAUUCUUCCAUGUGAUUGGUUGGCUCUCAAAGGGGUGGGAAGAGAAAGAGGGAGAAGAAUGUCACCGGAUCCCCAUGGGUAAACAACAGCAGGAGCAUCUGCUCUGAUUUUCAACUAAAUUUGUGAAAUAUUUCUAAAUACCUGACACCAAUCUUGAAAGACGGUAACUUCUAACCCUCAUCAAAAAGAGAACCCUUGUUCUUCAAGAUUCUUAGUAACUCAUGCUGGUUUCUCUAGCACAAAAUAAGUACCCAAUGCUUGCUUGUACCCUGGGUGCUAGAUAUCCCAACCUCCGCCACACUCUUCCUCUUGGCAUUACAAAGAGAACCCAGCCUGCUGACUUCUACUCUCCCACUUUUUCAAACUCUGCUGUUUUGGAAAAGAUGGAACUAUUCAAUCACAUUCCCCCUGAAUUUUUCUCCACCCUCUUUAAGAGGGGCCCUUUCCUUUAAGGGGGGGGGGGGUCUUGUUUCACGAUGUAACUCUUCUGUAAUUAUGUUAGCACACAUGUGCAAAACAAGGGGAAAGGCGGGCUUGGUUUAUGGGGAGAAACCCAAUACCUGGCCAAGUCCACUGGGAGGUCAACCAAUUAUUAAUCCAGGACAGGGCCACUUAACUGAAGUAGUCAAGGCAAGCCUUCAGUCCUGGCAAUGCUCUCUGUCCCUAGGCGCGGGUACAGAAUGGGUGCCUUUCCUCAAAAUCUUAUUACUCCCAACAACUCUUUUCUGCUCAGCAGUUUCUCCCAUUUCAAGGCUUCACACAAAAAUCAGUUCUGUGCAAGGAAUGAGAGGCAGCCAUUCGGCCCCAGAAGACCCACAGGACUAGACAGCAAGGAGACAUGAAAACUGCAUUACCUUUGUUCUCACAGCCACAAAGACGCCCAUAAUGCACAUGAGGGCGAGGCCAAAACGGCAGAGAAAGUUUCCUGCUGAGAGGUUAAAGCCUGGGCACCUUUAAUGCCCCAUGUCAGUGCCCCAGAACCAGAACUGAGCCAAACCCUCCCCAGGCUCAUCCUAAACAAUCUGGAGUUGCUGGAAAGACCCAUCUGUGGAACCAUGGAGUCUCCAUGACUGACCUGAAACCACUCUAGACCCAAAGGGCAAAGAUCCCUCAGCACCGGGCCAAGAACUCAUCAGAUCCAGGAAAUAAGUGGCAGUGGUUCCCUAUGUCCUCACUCUAUAAUCCCAAAGUCAAGUUUAAUCUGAACUAUGCUAAAUGCCUUUUGUUAACACAGAUGUCUCACUUAUAAAUCCCAGGAAACAUCAGUGACUCAGCCGUCUUACACAGGAACGAUCAGAAAUUAAGUAUUCAAACAGGACUCCCAUAGCACAAGAAAUAAAAGCAAGAAUCAAUAACUGGGAUAGAGUCAUACUAAAAAGCUUUCUCUCAGCAAAGGAAACUAUCAGCAAUGUGAAAAGAGAACCUACA